Molecule: non-coding RNA, 1115 nt
Organism: Dermacentor albipictus
Lineage: Eukaryota; Metazoa; Arthropoda; Arachnida; Ixodida; Ixodidae
Source: RefSeq, a predicted model, not a curated record
UCCUACGCACACAACCACAGGGCUAGGCGAGGUUCCCGUUAGGCUCAUUAAUGUACUAGGACCUAAAAGUAAGGAAGCUCUGGUGAAAACAGUGGAAAAAACUUUAAAAGAUAGACAAAUGCCAGAGAGUUGGCGACAAAAUAGAAUGAAUUUAACUUAUAAAGGUAAGGGUUCGAAAGACAGAAUUCACUCGUAUAGACCGUUGACCCUUAUAUGACGCAGUUGAUGUGGUUGAGUGGGCAGAACAGCAGCGACGCUGGAAUGUUGCUAAAACGCUGCCUGUUUUUCAUGCAGUUUUUGGGAUGCUUCCAUGGAUUCUUCCGCAGCGACGCUGCCUUAUCUUCCGCGCUUCCCUUUCACCGGCACGUGAAUGCAGUCGAUGGCGUGCCCAUGGACUGCCCUGUCACUCCUGUUGGUGAUAGCCCUGGCAUGCCUCGUGGCUUUGCCGACAGCCUCCCACGUGCUUCGCUUCUGGCUGAUGUCAUCGUCGCUCUACCAAUCACCACUAAGCUGCGGUCAGCGACGUCUACACCGGAUGACAUAAAGGUCUUCGCAAUGGCACCUUCCUUCAGUGGGCAGAACAGCAGCGAUGCCGGAAUGUUGCUACAACGCUGCCUGUUUUUCACGCAGAAAAAGACUGCCAUCAAAAUCGGAUUGGAUGCCAUGGCCACGCGAAGCAUGCUGGGUUGAUCUCCUCUGGCGGUUGACCUCCUCUGGCACUUGCUACGGGAUGUGUGUGCGCUAUGGGGAUACCGGGUUCCUCUCGUGAUCAAGUUGCCAAGUGCCAUGCGAGAAGGAUGGAGCAGCAACACAAGUGGUGGCAGGCCAACCGCCGUGGCCUUCUACCUGAGCAGAGCGUGAGCGGUCGGGCUACAAGCCCAAGUUUGCGGGCAACUUCCUGGCCAGGAUGUCCUGGUCUCCUGCUGUUCCAUUGUGUUCUCUUGGCAAACCGGGACCAUCAUACUCCAGUUGUCAACUGGUCGCUCCGCCGCAUCACUGGUUUGACGAAGCCGCGGCUGCUUUCGACGCGAUCGUGGGCAGCACCUUGCAGUUCUGAAGGCGCACGGCCGACGCACACACCAAGUCAAAUCGAAACUACCGUUUGCUGCAACUGC